This 523-nucleotide ribosomal RNA is filed under the name uncultured bacterium. RNAcentral's name for it is "bacterial SSU rRNA". It matches the Rfam family "Bacterial small subunit ribosomal RNA", at positions 336 to 850 of the family's 1533-position model. The record is from RNAcentral.
CUCCUACGGGUGGCAGCAGUCGAGAAUAAUUCACAAUGGACGAAAGUCUGAUGGUGCAACGCCGCGUGGAGGAUGACGGUCUUCGGAUUGUAAACUCCUGUCAUCCGGGAGUAAGGCCUGGCUGUGAAUAGCAGACAGGGUUGAUAGUACCGGAAGAGGAAGGGACGGCUAACUUCGUGCCAGCAGCCGCGGUAAUACGAAGGUCCCGAGCGUUGUUCGGAAUCACUGGGCGUAAAGGGAGCGUAGGCGGCGCGGUAAGUCAGAUGUGAAAUCCCGGGGCUCAACCCCGGAACUGCAUCCGAUACUGCCGUGCUAGAGGAUUGGAGAGGUAGCUGGAAUUCUUGGUGUAGCAGUGAAAUGCGUGGAGAUCAAGAGGAACACUCGUGGCGAAAGCGAGCUACUGGACAAUAUCUGACGCUGAGGCUCGAAGGCCAGGGUAGCGAAAGGGAUUAGAUACCCCUGUAGUCCUGGCAGUAAACGGUGUGCGCUUGGUGUGAGGGGAAUCGACCCCCCUUGUGCCGGA